AUAAAAUAGGAUUUUGGUUUGAAAAAAAAAUAUUUUGGUUUUAAAAGGUCAUUUUUGUCAAUUAUGAUUUUGGACUGAACUAGAUGCAUCCAUAUGCACCAUGAAAACCCACCUUCUGUUGGGUAAAAAUUUGAAGUGAGUUUUCACAAAUACAGUUGGGUGAUCCAUCUAGAUGUUGCAUUAUAAUGCACUAAACGAACAUUGAUUUGCAUCUUCACCCAUGAUCACCUGGAUGAGCAAACAAAUAACACCUAACAUGUAUGAUGUGGUCUGAGUACGAAAAAUAAGUAUCAAAUUUCUUUAAAUCUAAUGAGGAAUCAUGUUUUGUAUGUUAUGCUUGGUUGCUUUGUGUACGAUAAUACAAAAAGAUCUUUUUUGUUAUUGUUUCUAAGAUCUAAAUUGUUGAUAAUAUAGAGUAAACAUGUUAUUUUUCCACGAGAACUAUUAUAUAGCAUAAGAUGUGAAUCAAACUAUGACCUCAUGCUAUAUGUCCAUAAAAUGAAUAUUGUAAACGUAUUUUUCCCCAAAUUAAAAGUUACGAUGUUAUUUCUCCCCGAACCGAUGAUUCAAAACUUAAUUACGGUUAACUAUUUAGCAACCAAAACUCAAUUUCAAUUAAACCAAACCAUCUGACUCAAAAAAAUAAGAAAAUAAAACAGACCCGUCAACCCGACCCA
This 677-nucleotide long non-coding RNA is filed under the name Brassica napus (rape). RNAcentral's name for it is "long non-coding RNA (BNAP_LNC007538)". The record is from RNAcentral. Lineage: Eukaryota; Viridiplantae; Streptophyta; Magnoliopsida; Brassicales; Brassicaceae.